This 300-nucleotide unclassified non-coding RNA is filed under the name uncultured fungus. Its description in RNAcentral is "partial contains small subunit ribosomal RNA, internal transcribed spacer 1, and 5.8S ribosomal RNA". The stretch from base 1 to 73 matches the Rfam family "Eukaryotic small subunit ribosomal RNA", at positions 1759 to 1831 of the family's 1831-position model. Lineage: Eukaryota; Fungi. The record is from RNAcentral.
GCAAACUUGGUCAUUUAGAGGAAGUAAAAGUCGUAACAAGGUCUCCGUUGGUGAACCAGCGGAGGGAUCAUUACAAAACGAGUCGCAAGACUUAAACCCCAUGUGAACUAUACCUUCUAUCUCGGUUGCUUCGGCAGGCGGCCCCAGGGCGGGGUCCCCGCGGCCUGGCCAGAUCCAGGCGCCCGCCGGAGGACGAAACCUCAAACUCUUUUUCAGCAGUGAAACUCAGAGUAACAAAGACAAUCAGUCAAAACUUUCAACAACGGAUCUCUUGGUUCUGGCAUCGAUGAAGAACGCAGC